UCCAUCCAAGCAUGGACAGGAAAACGGGA
RNAcentral lists this non-coding RNA (29 nucleotides) under Homo sapiens (human). Lineage: Eukaryota; Metazoa; Chordata; Mammalia; Primates; Hominidae. The record is from RNAcentral.